GUGCUUCAGCAGCACAUCUACUAAAAUGGGAACAAUGCCAAGAUUAGCAUGAUCCCAGCACAAGGAUGACACACGAAUUUGUGAAGUGUUCCAUAUUAAA
Small nuclear RNA from Cricetulus griseus (Chinese hamster), 100 nucleotides. Lineage: Eukaryota; Metazoa; Chordata; Mammalia; Rodentia; Cricetidae. The record is from Ensembl.